This 468-nucleotide ribosomal RNA is filed under the name uncultured bacterium. Its description in RNAcentral is "partial 16S ribosomal RNA". It matches the Rfam family "Bacterial small subunit ribosomal RNA", at positions 28 to 507 of the family's 1533-position model. The record is from RNAcentral.
GACGAACGCUGGCGGCGUGCUUAACACAUGCAAGUCGAACGGAAAGGCCCUGCUUUUGUGGGUUUCUCGAUUGGCGAACGGGUGUGUAACACGUGAGUAACCUGCCCUUGACUUUGGGAUAACUUCAGGAAACUGGGGCUAAUACCGGAUAUGAGCUCCUGCUGCAUGGUGUGGGUUGGAAAGUUUCGGCUGUUGGGGAUGGACUCGCUGCUUAUCAGCUUGUUGGUGGGGUAGUGGCUUACCAAGGCUUUGACGGGUAGCCGGCCUGAGAGGGUGACCGGCGACAUUGGGACUGAGAUACGGACCAGAAUCCUACGGGAGGCAGCAGUGGGGAAUAUUGCACAAUGGGCGGAAGCGUGAUGCAGCAACGCCGCGUGCGGGAUGACGGCCUUCGGGUUGUAAACAGAUUUCGACUGUGACGAAGAGUGAGUGACGGUAAUGGGUAAAGAAGCACCGGCUAACUACGUG